RNAcentral lists this non-coding RNA (28 nucleotides) under Mus musculus (house mouse). The record is from RNAcentral. Lineage: Eukaryota; Metazoa; Chordata; Mammalia; Rodentia; Muridae.
UAGUAAGCCAGGUUCAGCAGUUUGCCAA